This 3614-nucleotide unclassified non-coding RNA is filed under the name Hevea brasiliensis (rubber tree). Lineage: Eukaryota; Viridiplantae; Streptophyta; Magnoliopsida; Malpighiales; Euphorbiaceae. The record is from RNAcentral.
UCUAAUCUAAUCUUCGCAGAAGGUGAUAAUUUUUUCCCUUUCUCAUUUUUAUUUCCAUUUAAAUUAAUAUCCUAAUUUUAUUUUUAGCCUUCAUUAACUGAAUAUUAAAAAAGAAGGGAAAAUCAAUUCUCUUUUUGUAUAAUUUUUCUUUUUCUUGAGUAAUUAUAUCAGGUAUUUCUUUGAAGAUUUUUCCUCUCUUAUUUUAUUUUUUUUUCCAUUUAGAACAGUUUUGAUUACGGAUUAGUUUUCUUUUUGGUGUUGGAUAAAUUAUAAACUAUGAUCUUUAAAUGGAUUUCUUUUUCUUUUUUUUUUAAUGUUUAUGUGUAUAUAAAGUUUUGUUAAUUUUCUUGAUUUUAACAGUGUUUUAUUUUCAAAGAAAUGUGUAGAUAAGAUUUUGUUGAAAUUGUUGAUUUGUUGUUGGGGUCUCAGGAGAAAAAAUGAGCAGCCGUGCUAGCCGCACUCUUUAUAUAGGUAAUCUUCCGGGAGAUAUUCGUCAGAGAGAAGUAAAAGAUUUGUUUUACAAGUAUGGGCCUAUUGUUGAUGUUGAUUUGAAAAUCCCACCGAGACCUCCUGGCUAUGCUUUUGUUGAGUUUGAAGAUGCUCGUGAUGCUGAAGAUGCUAUUCGUGGUCGUGAUGGGUAUAACUUUGAUGGAUGUCGCUUACGAGUUGAGCUUGCACAUGGUGGGCGAAGACAUUCAUCUCCCGGAGACCGUUAUAGCAGUUAUAGUGGUAGCAGCGGAAGCCGUGGACCUUCCAGGCGCUCUGACUAUCGUGUUAUGGUCACUGGAUUGCCUUCUUCUGCCUCAUGGCAAGAUCUCAAGGAUCAUAUGCGACAAGCUGGGGAUGUUUGCUUUUCUCAGGUCUUUCGUGAUCGUGGUGGUAUGACUGGAAUUGUAGAUUAUACAAACUAUGAUGAUAUGAAACGCGCUAUCAAGAAACUUGACGACUCAGAGUUUCGAAAUGCAUUUUCUCGGUCUUAUGUACGGGUAAGGGAGUAUGGUUCAAGGAGGAGCUACUCUAGGAGUCCCAGUCGUAGCCCAUAUGGCCGAAGCAGGAGCCUAAGCCGAAGCCGAAGCCAAAGCUAUAGUCGUAGUCGUAGCUAUAGCGAGAGGAGCAGAUCUCCUAGGGUUAAAUAUUCUCGCCGAUCUCGAUCUUUAUCUGUUUCUUCACAUUCUCAGGCAGGGUCAUCUCCUGGAUCUUAUAGGUAUCCACUGCUGCACCCCUACCCUCUCCUUUUUUUUUCCCCCCUUAAAAAAAUUGCAUUUUGGUUUUGCUUCUUUUAUGAUAUAUCAUUGAUGUAUUUAUGGUGCUUUUCUGUUGUUACUAUUAUUAGUGAGAUGGUUAUUAGAUGUUAAAGUCUGUUAAAAUCUAUUUAGUUUUAAACAUCCUUUUACAUGUUCAGUUCUGUGGGAUGACCUAUCCGAGAAAAGGCAGAAUAAACCUUAGAUCUAGAAAAUUCUAUCAUCUUCAGUUACUGGGUUGCAAGUUUUCUUACUGAUGCUUGAUGUAUUAAAUCUUAACAGCCAAUUAUAAGUUUAGUUAAUUUACCUUCAGUUGCAAUGCAUACGUUCUUUUGCUGCCCUUUCCUUGAACCUCUGUCUGGUUGGUAAAAGAUUUGUUUGUGUGAUUGAUAGGAUGGGUGGUGCCAAUUGGCAUGCAUCUCAACUUGAGUUUUAUGAGUUUUAUGAGUAAUUGGCUGACUUGAAGCUAUCUAUGUGUGUGUGUUUCUGUCCUGCCAUAUUUGGUAUUUAAUGUUGAAGAAUUUGUUACUUUGCACAAAUGACUGGUCAAUGUUAAACUUUCUUUGGCAUGUGAAAUAAGGAUAUCUGAAAUCUGAUUGAAUAAGUCUUCUUUUUCCCCUCUGAUUUUAAGCAUGUUAUUUUCUAGAUUUUAAAACUUAUUAUAAAGUGCCAUAUGUUCUUAAUUAAUCCUUGUCAAUUCCACGGACAAGCUUUAGACCCAUUUUUUCUUUAAGGGUGGAAAGAGGUCACAGAGAAGGGGUUACCAGGUUGGCCAGUUGUCAUACUUUGUUUACAAGGGUUGCUCAUUUGCUUACCAGAUCUGGCUUUGUGCAGUGACCUGGGAUUGGAUGUUAAGAACUUGAUGUGAUGUGGUGCUCAUAUCUGCAUCUCUUUGGUGGUUGAGGUAAUGCGAUUUUUGUUGAUGAGCACCUCUCAAACAUCCUAACAAUCUUAUAAUGCUGUUGUGGUGAUGUGUCAUUUAGUGCUAGAAUUGAUCAAGUGUGGAUGGGUCGCAAAUAAAGCUGGAUACUCAGAUCUAAGUGCUAUUCCUACCAUCCCACACAUCAGCUGCAUAAACAAAACUCUUCCCCCUGGACUUGGUGAUACAGAUAGGGAGGGUGUAGUUCUCCUCUUAUCUGGUAUGGAUGGGGAGGAUGUCUUAACUUUGGCCACUGGUUCUAUGGUGCUCUAGAAUUUUUCUUUCUUCUACAUGUUGACUAUUUUCUUAAUCUGCUGGGAAAGGCCAUUAUGAAAAGUGUGAGGUUGUAUUUUAUCAUAUGGUGCAUUUAAUUUUCAUUUUUUAAGUCGCUUCUAAAGAUAGGUGGUAUUGUCUGUUUCUUUUGGUUGCUGGUCACUCUGAGGUGGAAGUGGCAAUGAGGCUUUUGGAUCAAGGAUUAUAAUGGGUUCUUGUGGAUAAUUGGGUUGUUUCUGGAAAUUUUUGCAGAUCAAGGUCAAGAUCAAGAUCUCCUCUUGCAUCUCCUUCCAGCAAACGAGCAGGUAGAAGCCCAACCAAACGUGGUAGAAGCAAAAGCUAUGGAUCUCGAUCCCGUUCACCUGUGAGAUCUGAUCGAAGCCGAUCAACAGGCUCUAUGGACUCGAGGGAUGGAUAUUGAAGAUUUUUCUCUGCGUAGUUGUAAAAUCUAAUUGGCCUGGUGGAAGGAAACCUUUUAAAAAAAAAAAAAAAAACCCUAGAUGUAGCUUAAACAUACGAAUCAUUACAUUUCGAGCUAUUUUUUUCAAUUUAUGAUGUCACAUUUGCUUUUUUAACUGAUGUUGGAGAAUGGAGAGGCCAUUCAAAUCGAUGUUUGACAUGUUUGAAUAAGUUGUCAUGUACGCUUAUGGGGAAAUUGACCUGAAAGAUGUGAUUAUGUUAAAUAAGCUGAGCUGAAAAGUUGAUGGACGAAGACACAAUUCAAAAUAGCGUCUCAAAGCCGGAUGUUAUUUAUAUUUACAAUCUGAACUGUUUUAGUAUUCUUUUUGUAGCGAAUCUUUGCAUUGGACUGAGCAUGUCAUUUAUAAUUAAAUUUAGAUGCUAGGAUGCGAUUUUUAAUAGCAUUCAAGAUUUAUUUUUAAUAUAAAUAUUUUUUAAUUUAUAAAUUCAAAGAGAUUUGAAUGCUAAUAUAAUUAGUGUUUUGUUGUAAGAGCAAACAAGUUGGGAACACUAAUUACAUUAGUGUCUUGAUGUUUGUCUCAAUUCAUGUGUAAUGUGAAACGAGCUGGGAUGUUAAUAUGGAUUCAUAGUUUUGCUUGAAUUACUUUUUGCUGUUAAUAUGGGGUUUGAUGGGAAAAUCUCAAAUGGGACACAAGUGGAUUGAGAAGCCAUUUUGAAUUUUUGUCCAACUUUGUGAAUUUCAUUAAGAGUUGGCUGUAUCC